AUGACUACAGGUCAGAAGAUAAUGAAGCUUAUUUUUGUAAUCAUACUCAAUAAUUUCAUGUCAAGAAAUGUUGUUUAAGAGCCAAGGAAUCUAGCAUGUCUCAAAAAUGAUGAACCAAAUCAAGAAUUAUCUACUUUAACCCAGUUGUUUGAAUGUACACAUAAAUGGAUGGAAGGACGUGCAUAUUUUCAUAAAUAUGGUGACACAAAGA
This 211-nucleotide long non-coding RNA is filed under the name Helianthus annuus (common sunflower). RNAcentral describes it as "hypothetical non coding rna". The record is from RNAcentral. Lineage: Eukaryota; Viridiplantae; Streptophyta; Magnoliopsida; Asterales; Asteraceae.